AUGGCACUGGUAGCAGACACAUGCGUGUACACAGAAGGUCUAGAGCUCACCAACACCGUGUGGCGCAGCAUGCUCGAGUGCCUGAUGAUACCCAACAGCGGGUUUCAGGCGCCAUUUCUUCAUCGCCUCACAACCGCAGAUCUGCAGGAAAGUUGGAAACUGCCAUCCACAAUAAAAUUUCCUGCUCCGAGUUCAGGAAAGAUUACUUUGGAGACACAACACAAGAAUGGGUAUGCAGACAUGCAAGCUGACUACCACAUCGACUCUGAAGACUGCAUCAACAUAACUACUGGUUGGAAAGAUUUUGUCUCCCAGAAUGGCUUUGAGGUCGGAGAAGUGGCCAUGGUGUUUUUCUACAAAGAAGAAGACUCCCUCAAGUUUACAAUAUUUGCACUCUAG
RNAcentral lists this ribosomal RNA (399 nucleotides) under Triticum aestivum (bread wheat). RNAcentral's name for it is "partial small subunit ribosomal RNA". The record is from RNAcentral. Lineage: Eukaryota; Viridiplantae; Streptophyta; Magnoliopsida; Poales; Poaceae.